This 340-nucleotide long non-coding RNA is filed under the name Olea europaea subsp. europaea. The record is from RNAcentral. Lineage: Eukaryota; Viridiplantae; Streptophyta; Magnoliopsida; Lamiales; Oleaceae.
GGCAGAGAUAUGAAGUAGAAUACGGAUGACAGCAACAAGGAGAAGAAAAUAAUUCCAAUUUAUGCACGAAAAUUCAUCAAGAUUUUGAGCAAGACAUUCCGUCGUCGAAUAGCUGGGAGAUUUACAUUAUGCAAGGAAGAAGUUGAAGAAAAAUUGUUGGGAUUCGCAUGACGAAAAUCAACAAUAGCUUGGAGAAUUUUUAUCUUGUUUAUUAUAAUUAAGCCCAGUGAUGUUCUCCAAUCUUUUUUUUUUUUUUUUUUUAAUUCGACAUUAGGAGUGGCUAAAGAACUUUCAUGCUAGGAAGAACGAUAUAACUUAUUUGACAUUUAUUUAAUUUCAU